GACAGAUGGUGCAAACGGUGUUCGGAAUUACUGGGCGUAAAGCGUGUGUAGGCGGUCUAUUAAGUCGGAUGUGAAAGCCCUGGGCUCAACCCAGGAAGUGCACUCGAAACUGGUAGACUUGAGUAUCGGAGAGGUUGGUGGAAUUCUCGGUGUAGAGGUGAAAUUCGUAGAUAUCGAGAGGAACACCGGUGGCGAAGGCGGCCAACUGGACGAAUACUGACGCUGAGACACGAAAGCGUGGGGAGCAAACAGG
This 253-nucleotide ribosomal RNA is filed under the name uncultured bacterium. RNAcentral's name for it is "partial 16S ribosomal RNA". It matches the Rfam family "Bacterial small subunit ribosomal RNA", at positions 524 to 776 of the family's 1533-position model. The record is from RNAcentral.